This 77-nucleotide transfer RNA is filed under the name Gammaproteobacteria bacterium. Its description in RNAcentral is "tRNA-Pro". It matches the Rfam family "tRNA". From Rfam's summary of the family: Transfer RNA (tRNA) molecules are approximately 80 nucleotides in length. Their secondary structure includes four short double-helical elements and three loops (D, anti-codon, and T loops). Further hydrogen bonds mediate the characteristic L-shaped molecular structure. tRNAs have two regions of fundamental functional importance: the anti-codon, which is responsible for specific mRNA codon recognition, and the 3' end, to which the tRNAs corresponding amino acid is attached (by aminoacyl-tRNA synthetases). tRNAs cope with the degeneracy of the genetic code in two manners: having more than one tRNA (with a specific anti-codon) for a particular amino acid; and 'wobble' base-pairing, i.e. permitting non-standard base-pairing at the 3rd anti-codon position. Lineage: Bacteria; Pseudomonadati; Pseudomonadota; Gammaproteobacteria. RNAcentral also lists the same sequence under 2 other names. The record is from RNAcentral.
CGGGGCGUAGCGCAGCCUGGUAGCGCGCUUGCAUGGGGUGUAAGAGGUCGAAGGUUCGAAUCCUUCCGUCCCGACCA